AAAAGAGGGAAGCAUGGAAAAAAGCCAAUGAGGAAUUACGACGCCACCACUGGAGGAAGUGGGUUAGAGUCAAGAUGGCUCACAGGGAGAAGUCCUUGCUUAGCAGGCCUAGAAACCUAGCACCUGUAAUUGUGCCUCCCUCUUUCUAGGAAGACAACAAACUGUCUUUCAGCUUUGUCUACCAGGUACUGGAACCUCUCUGUGGCCAGAUUCCUGGGGCCGGGUGAAUUGUCAAUAGGCAACUGCAGUCACUCAGAAUCUUUCUAGAAUGAGUAACUCAAAGACAGGGGUUUGUUUGAUCCAUUUUGAACUACCGCAGCAUGUAGCUCAGUCUUUGGCUCUCAUCGGGAGACUUCCAAGUAAACUGAAAAAAGGCAGGAGCUGCUGGGUCAACUGGCAGAUUCAUCCAGGUCACAGAAAGAUGGGGAAUUGUAAGAGAAGAAAUGAACACUGAGGCCAUUUCUCUUAAGUGGGGAGGGCUUGGAGUAGAAAGCAUGAAAAAUGCCCCUCCUGUGCUGGGCUCACUUCUCAGGGCCUAGGACAAAGGCAGGACAUGGUGUUCCUGCUUUCACAGUGAUUGAAAAAAACUGGUGGCAGCACACAGCUUGCUGCCGGGCAGACAGCUUGAGUGUCUUCACUACUACUCUUGGUGGUUCAAGGGCAGGUUUGCCUCAGCCCUUAGAACACAGUUCCCUGGAUUCCUUGGCCCUCCCACAUCUCGAGAGCAGCAGUAACUACUUCACUGUGGGCUGUGAGGAGUCUCUUAGUUGGACAAUGUUAGUAUAUGCAAUUGAUUCAGAGCCUAACUUCAUUUCUUCCUAACUUCUAACUGGUUUCUUCCAAGUUCCUACACUUGGCCUGGCUUCCUUUUCCCUGAGUUGGUCAUCAAGUACCCAAAUGGAAUCCAUAUUCUAUAAAUUCUUCCUCUCCGAUCUCUGGAGGCAGUAGAGUAGUGCUUAAGGGUACAUGCUCUGGGGUCACACUGCCAGGGUUCACAGCCCAACUCUUGUUUGCCAGCUAUGCACCCUUGUGCAGUUUACUUACCUUUCUGUGCCAGUUUUUCAUCUCUAUAAUGAGAAUGACAAUAGUACUUAACUCAUAGAUCUGUUGUGAGGAUUAAAUGAGAUUGUAAUGAGCCUGGCACCUAGUUAGGGUUCAGUAAUAUUAGCUAUUAUUUGGAAUGAAAAGUCUUUCUUUCCCUCUUGCACACCCCUGCUUCUCUAGUUUCAGAUACUUGUUCCUCCUCUCCCCAACGAACUUCUCCCAUCCUUCUCCAGACGUUGCAAGCCUUUCAGUGCUAAAUGUUCUUAAAAGAAGAGAUUUCCGGCUGGGCACGUUGGCUCACGUCUUUAAUCCCAGCAUUUUGGGAGGCAGAGGCGGGUGGAUCAUGCGGUCAGGAGAUGGAGACCAUCCUGGCUAACAUGGUGAAACCCCGUCUUUACUAAAAAUCCAAAAAAAUUAGCCGAGUGUGGUGGCGGGCGCCUGUAGUCCCAGCUUCUCGUGAGGCUGAGGCAGGAGAAUGGCGUGAACCCGGGAGGCGGAGCUUGCAGUGAGCCGAUUGCGCCACUGCACUCCAGCCUGGGCGACAGAUGUCUCAAAAAAAAAAAAAAAAAAAGAAUGGGUUUCCUUUUGAUCUUUUCCAUCUCUUGUAUGUCCCAUACCCAGGUAAUCAUUUUUUAAUUAUUUUUGUAUUUUCUGAUACAUAUUUUACAUAUUUAUGGGUCAUGUGGGAUACUGUGUCAUAUGCAUAAAAUGUGUAAUGAUCAAGCCAGGAUAUUUGAGGUGUCCAUCACAUUGAAUAUUUAUCAUUUCUAUGUGUUGGGAACAAUUCAAAUCCUCUCUUCUAGCUACUUUGAAAUAUGAAAUUCAUUGUUGUUAACAACAGUCACUCUACUCUGCUGUCAAAUGAUAGAACUUACACCUUUUAUCUAACUAUAUGUUUGUACCUGUUAACUUACCUCUCUUUAUCCUCCCUUCUCACCCAUACACCCUUCCCACCCUGUAGUAUUCAUCAUUUCUCCCAGGUAAUCACUGAUUAUCAGAAUUGGAAAGGUCUUUUAUAAAUAAUCUAGUUUAAUUUGCUCUUUUUACAGAUUGUCAAAAGUUGGAUCCAGAAAGAUAAAGCAACUUAGUAAAGAUCACAUUGAACUAGAAUCACAACUUAGUCCUAUAGAUAUUAGCAAUGUCAGACAUCAAAGCCUGAACAUUUAAUUCUAAUAAAUUCAACAUAUAUCCAGUAAGGAUCUACUAUUAGUGUGUGUGUGUGUUUGUAUGUGGUAGUAGGCCAUACGCUGAGAGAGAUACAAAGAUGAUUUCAAAUCACUUGUCCACUAGAAAAGCUGGCUCUAGGAGGAGGUUAUGAGGCAUUGUAUGUCUUGGGGGGUAGCUCUCCAUUCCUCUUAUACAUAG
This 2409-nucleotide long non-coding RNA is filed under the name Homo sapiens (human). Its description in RNAcentral is "HSALNT0285219". The record is from RNAcentral. Lineage: Eukaryota; Metazoa; Chordata; Mammalia; Primates; Hominidae.